This 374-nucleotide ribosomal RNA is filed under the name uncultured organism. RNAcentral's name for it is "partial 16S ribosomal RNA". It matches the Rfam family "Bacterial small subunit ribosomal RNA", at positions 527 to 896 of the family's 1533-position model. The record is from RNAcentral.
GUAGGUGGCAAGCGUUGUCCGGAAUUAUUGGGCGUAAAGCGCGCGCAGGCGGUCCUUUAAGUCUGAUGUGAAAGCCCACGGCUCAACCGUGGAGGGUCAUUGGAAACUGGGGGACUUGAGUACAGAAGAGGAAAGCGGAAUUCCAAGUGUAGCGGUGAAAUGCGUAGAGAUUUGGAGGAACACCAGUGGCGAAGGCGGCUUUCUGGUCUGUAACUGACGCUGAGGCGCGAAAGCGUGGGGAGCAAACAGGAUUAGAUACCCUGGUAGUCCACGCCGUAAACGAUGAGUGCUAAGUGUUAGGGGGUUUCCCGCCCCCCUUAGUGCUGCAGCUAACUCAUUAAGCACUCCGCCUGGGGAGUACGGCCGCAAGGCUG